GAACUGCUGACGAGUCCCCAACAGGAUGAAACAGCUGUCCAGUGC
Molecule: non-coding RNA, 45 nt
Organism: Echinostoma caproni
Lineage: Eukaryota; Metazoa; Platyhelminthes; Trematoda; Plagiorchiida; Echinostomatidae
Source: Rfam